This is a long non-coding RNA of Acinonyx jubatus (cheetah), 2133 nucleotides long. RefSeq lists it as uncharacterized. The transcript has 4 exons. NCBI's taxonomy places the organism in Eukaryota, Metazoa, Chordata, Mammalia, Carnivora, Felidae. The record is from RefSeq and is a predicted model, not a curated record.
GUGAGGGGCAGAGAGGGAGACAUAGAAUCCGAAGCAGGCUCCAGGCUUCGAGCUGCCAGCACUGAACCCGAUGUGGGGCUGGCUCUAAUCUAUGAACUGCGAGAUCAUGACCUGAAUGAAGUCAGGUGCUUAACCAACUGAGCCACCCAAGCGCCACAAUAUUUAUUUUUUUAAAGAGCAUAAAUUUCGACUCCUAGAGUUUAGGGCUGUGACUUAGUUCUGCCACUGCCAGAAUUAAUAAGUAAUUCAUCAACUCUUCCUGAGCCUCUGCUUCCCAGAUAAAAUUGUGAUUGUCACAUAAACCCCCUGCACUGUCACCACCACAUAUGUUGAAUAGUGGAAGAACGCUGUUAGCUGGUAAGGGCCGGCAAGACACCACGUAGAUCUAACAUCUUGCUGUUUUCACAGUGAAGUAAGUGGAACGAACAGGGCUCUCAUUUGAGGGCGAAGGAAACACAGAAGCCAGAACCAGAGAUAACUUCUAGCUCCUCACCUGGAACCACUGUUACACUUCACUUCAUCACCCGGGACACGACAGACCGAAGCCACCUUCCUGAACAUUCGCUUACCCUCGGAGAGACUUCUGAUUAUGACCAUAAAGGUGGUGAAGAAAAAAAAAAAAAUGGACCAAUACCAAACUGGGAAAUCCUUACAGCAACUCCGAUGGCAACAAUGACACCAGGUAAGUGUGCGAUCGACAUUCACUGACUGCUAACAGUGUGUGAGCCACAGGACACAGGAGAGCUGUCCAGGAAAACCUUCCAGGCAGCUCCAUGUCUGAGCCAGGCAUCUGUUAGUGUCUUGCUUUACUAACACUUUAUGGUUUAAGUUAAAGCUCUUUCAUCUUCAAAACAGCUCUACAAAUCAGUGAAGGACAAGGGCUUUGGUUCCUUAACCUAGGAGAAAACUCAGAAAGCCGAAGGGACUCAUCUCAGGCAUCCCUGGGACGGUUGGUCCCCUGGCUGAGGAAGUGAUCAGACACAAAGACACAGCACCACGGAACUGGAAACAAGCUUCCCCAUGAAAUCAGCUAUUCAAAUGGAAUGAGACAAGUAUCGGAAGCUCUAAACUGAGGCUUUGAUGCAUCUGUGCUGCUGGCAACAUCCACAAAUUAGCUCUUAGCCAGCCGAGGGGCUACCCUUUGCCUGUGAUGACGGAAGUUUGCAUCACUCACGUGAGUACCCAUAAGCAACAGGGCAGCUGAUGCUCUGUAUCAGCUGAUGGCCCUGUCUUUUCACCCAAUGAUAGCCCUGGCACCUUCAACAGCGACACACUUGGAAACUCACUGUCUUGGUUAUGAUGAAGCCAAAGAAUCCGUUCUUCGGCAUAAGAAAAUAAACUCAACAUGACAUAAAACAAAGAAACAAUUCGUCAGCAGGUACACUGUUCUCCAUCAGAGACAGCGAAGCUGAGAAGGGGCCGCGGGGCCAGAGGCAGACGGCUGAAGUACCUGGAAACUGCAGAAAACGAACAAGAGACAACUAACCACAUUGGAAACCGAGAUGAGGCUGUGAGGAGGCUUUUGCAAGAGUUGAUGAUGGAGGCCUGAACCAGAGUGCUGGUGGUGAAGAUAAUAAGAAGCGAUCAUGUUUUUGGCAUUGUUUACAAUAGCAAAAUUAUGGAAGUAGCCCAAAUGUCCAUCACUGGAUGAAUGGAUAAAAAAGAUGAAUGGAUGAAGAAGGUAUCCCAUGAUACACAAUGGAAUAUUACUCAGCCAUAAAGAAGAAUGAAAUCUCGCCAUUUACAACAACAUGGAUGGAUCUAGAAAGUGUAAUGUUAAGCAAAAGAAGUCAGAGAAAGACAAAUGCCAUAUGACUUCACUCAAAUGUGGAAUUUAAGAAACAAAACAAAGGGGAAAAAAGAGACAAACCCAAAAAUGGACUUAACACUAGAGAACAAACUGAUGGUUACCAGAGGGGAGGUCCGGUGAGGGGAUGGGUGAAACAGGUGAACAGGAUUAGGGACACAUUUGUCAUGAUGGGAGUAAUGGGUAGAACUGCUAGAUCACUAUAUUAUGCACCUGAAAGUAAUAUAACACUGUAUGUUAACUAUACUGGAAAUGAAAUGAAAUGAAAUGAAAUGAAAUGAAAUGAAAUGAAAUGAAAUGAAUUGAAAUGAAAUGAAAUGAAUUGA